Molecule: long non-coding RNA, 226 nt
Organism: Mustela lutreola (European mink)
Lineage: Eukaryota; Metazoa; Chordata; Mammalia; Carnivora; Mustelidae
Exons: 3
Source: RefSeq, a predicted model, not a curated record
UUUUUUCUUCAGCUAGUGUCUUCAAGAAUCGAUAAAUUGUAUUAGUUUUUUUAAGAACACAGGUUUUGGCCUGGUUUAUAUUUUCUGUUAUUUGUUUCCAGUCUCCCUUAUGUCUGUUAAAUCCCAGGCUCCAAACCUCCUAGGGUUAAUGGUCAUUUCCUGCCGACUCCUCUGAAUCCCACUGUUUCCAUGGAUCUUGUCCAUCUAUAGCUGGAUGCCUCUUGAC